RNAcentral lists this ribosomal RNA (394 nucleotides) under uncultured bacterium. RNAcentral's name for it is "bacterial SSU rRNA". It matches the Rfam family "Bacterial small subunit ribosomal RNA", at positions 362 to 770 of the family's 1533-position model. The record is from RNAcentral.
UAUUGCACAAUGGGGGAAACCCUGAUGCAGCGACGCCGCGUGAGCGAAGAAGUAUUUCGGUAUGUAAAGCUCUAUCAGCAGGGAAGAAAAAAAUGACGGUACCUGAGUAAGAAGCACCGGCUAAAUACGUGCCAGCAGCCGCGGUAAUACGUAUGGUGCAAGCGUUAUCCGGAUUUACUGGGUGUAAAGGGAGCGUAGGCGGCCUGGCAAGUCUGGGGUGAAAACCCGGGGCCCAACCCCGGGAGUGCAUUGGAAACUGCCAGGCUGGAGUGCCGGAGGGGCAGGCGGAAUUCCUAGUGUAGCGGUGAAAUGCGUAGAUAUUAGGAGGAACACCGGUGGCGAAGGCGGCCUGCUGGACGGCAACUGACGCUGAGGCUCGAAAGCGUGGGGAGCA